GGGGAUGUCUGGUUUUGACAGCGGUCAGGACAGGUAUGUAAGCAUGCAGUGCCUCGAUUCUACGCACUCUAAUCUCAGAAUUAAAAACAAUAACUGGCGAAAACAACUACGCUCUCGCUGCUUAAUCGAAGUACAGUAGAUUAUAGCUUAAUCCUUGCCAUAGUGGCAGGGACGUGACAUCACCCCCAGCUCCCGUCCUGAAGCUUAAGGGAAUCGGUGGUGCAGCAAUAUCGGGAAUAGGUAUUCAUCUGUCCGGAAUGAACGCCGAAACUUAACGGAAUAAGGCUUGAAUAGGUGGCUUCGGUCCAGUUCAGGCACGAAAACUUAGGCGAAGAUAAGCAUGUAGAAAGCGUAUUGGUUCACCGUUUGGACGAGGGUUCGACUCCCUCCAUCUCCACAA
RNAcentral lists this transfer-messenger RNA (400 nucleotides) under Bacteroidota bacterium. It matches the Rfam family "transfer-messenger RNA". Rfam says of the family: Bacterial tmRNA, also known as 10Sa RNA or SsrA, is named for its dual tRNA and mRNA-like properties. Its role is to liberate the mRNA from a stalled ribosome. Lineage: Bacteria; Pseudomonadati; Bacteroidota. The record is from RNAcentral.